This is a non-coding RNA of Potamilus streckersoni, 68 nucleotides long. The record is from the annotation of a GenBank genome assembly. Lineage: Eukaryota; Metazoa; Mollusca; Bivalvia; Unionida; Unionidae.
UGGUAACUCAGUGAAUAGAGCGUCGGGCUCUUAUUCACUGGUCGCGGGUUCGAUCCCCGCCAGGUCAG